GGGCGUAAGCGCGCGCAGGCGGCCUUUUAAGUUGGAUGUGAAAGCCUAUGGCUCAACCAUAGAACUGCAUCCAAAACUAUCAGGCUAGAGUGUGGGAGAGGAAGAUGGAAUUAGUUGUGUAGGGGUAAAAUCCGUAGAGAUAACUAGGAAUACCAAAAGCGAAGGCAAUCUUCUGGAACAUUACUGACGCUGAGGCGCGAAAGCGUGGGGAGCAAACAGGAUUAGAUACCCUGGUAGUCCACGCCCUAAACGAUGAAUGUUAGUCGUCGGGUAGCUAGUCUAUUCGGUGAUGCAGCUAACGCAUUAAACAUUCCGCCUGGGGAGUACGGUCGCAAGAUUAAAACUCAAAGGAAUAGACGGGGACCCGCACAAGUGGUGGAGCAUGUGGUUUAAUUCGAAGAUACGCGAAGAACCUUACCUAGCCUUGACAUAUUUUAGAACACUUUAGAGAUAGAGUGGUGCCUUCGGGAGCUAAUAUACAGGUGCUGCACGGCUGUCGUCAGCUCGUGUCGUGAGAUGUUGGGUUAAGUCCCGCAACGAGCGCAACCCUCGUCACUAGUUACUAACGGUUCGGCCGAGGACUCUAGUGAGACUGCCUUCGCAAGGAGGAGGAAGGUGAGGACGACGUCAAGUCAUCAUGGCCCUUACGGCUAGGGCAACACACGUGCUACAAUGGCCAGGACAAUGAGAAGCGAUACCGCGAGGUGGAGCAAAUCUAU
Molecule: ribosomal RNA, 719 nt
Filed under: uncultured bacterium
Lineage: Bacteria
Description: bacterial SSU rRNA
Rfam family: Bacterial small subunit ribosomal RNA
Source: RNAcentral